AGCCAAUGAGGAUCCUUGCUAACCUGACACGUGAUGAAAAGUUGCCCAUUACGGAUCUGGCUUCUGAGGC
Molecule: small nucleolar RNA, 70 nt
Organism: Callorhinchus milii (elephant shark)
Lineage: Eukaryota; Metazoa; Chordata; Chondrichthyes; Chimaeriformes; Callorhinchidae
Product: small nucleolar RNA SNORD50
Exons: 1
Source: RefSeq, a predicted model, not a curated record